Olea europaea var. sylvestris is the source of this 189-nucleotide long non-coding RNA. RefSeq lists it as uncharacterized. The record is from RefSeq and is a predicted model, not a curated record. The transcript is spliced from 3 exons. Lineage: Eukaryota; Viridiplantae; Streptophyta; Magnoliopsida; Lamiales; Oleaceae.
UUCUUCCCAGGGCGUCAACCCCCCAAACGUCGAACCAGAAGAUGCUCCCAUGGAUUUGCCCGUUGUGACAAAGUCUUCUCACCCAAACAAGGGGAGGUCCUCACAAGUGGUGGAGCCACAGGUGGUAGAUUUGGCUGGGGAUAUGCCACCUCUCAAGAUUGCUGAUGAGGAUGCUAAUAAGAUUGUGCG